Molecule: long non-coding RNA, 1106 nt
Filed under: Ursus maritimus (polar bear)
Lineage: Eukaryota; Metazoa; Chordata; Mammalia; Carnivora; Ursidae
Description: lncRNA (ENSUMAG00000010698.1)
Source: RNAcentral
UUUUAUUUUAGUUUACCACCAGCAUCUCAAGUCCUUCUUACUUGGGGGAGUGCCCCACUCUAUGCAAUAUUUGCAGGAUUGCUAAGACUAAGGCUGAGAGAUAUUCUCCCUGCCCCCCAGUGGCUAGAAUACGACAUAGGACCCCACCUGGCCACACAUCUCUGAAUUUUGAAUCUUCAGGGAAUGACAUGAGACCUACUGACAAGCUUAGAAUUAUUCAGAGCAACAGAGACAGUAGGUGUCCAGCCACAGUGGGUCCCUCAGAGGGAUUGGGAGUAUGGGGGUCCCUACCAUAGUGAUGGUGGCCAUUCCAGAUUGUUCCUGAGGCACGAACUUGGUUGUGGUGCCUGCUGCCUGGCCUUGCUAGGUUACAACCCAUUUUCCAUAUCCAACUCUCCAGCCUUCCUGUCAACUCUGUAGCCUUCCAGUAAAUUCUCUUUCCUUGACAUUCUCACAAUUUCUGGCGUUUGCAUCAAAGCACUCUGACGGAGACACUGGUUUGUUGUUUUUGAAAUGUCACCUGAAAAUGGUUGACUAGGGGGCUUUCUAAGUUACAAAACCAUGUAAGAAGCUUAGUCCGACAGCCUAGUGUAGAAUGAGCCAGAGCUGCCUGUGUUCUCGUUUCUAAGCCCCCACCUGUACCACCACAGAGCACCAAGGGAAGAGGGACUCACAGACUCGCUCGGAUGCAGUCAUCAAAGUUGCCAAUUGAAACAAAUCACAGUGCAAUGCUCCCACAUACCAAUGCUCCCUCUCCAGCUGCUUUUGCUCUGCCGUUCCUACCAUAUUUUCUAGGGAUUGCACUGCUGCCCCAGUUCCCCGCUCUCCCUCUCAUACUGCGACCACGGUUCCACACCACCCCAGCCCCCCAGAGCUCCUCAUACACAUCACUGCACACCCCGCCCUCCUUCCCCAGCAACUGGAGUCUCCAGCUUCCUCCAGCGGGACUGAAAGACUCAGAUGUGAAGCAAGGCCAUUCAGCCUCGUUAGGGCCUCCCUGCAGGCCCACCAGCCCCUUCUCGCCAGCCCAGGUGCUGAGUCUAUCCCGAGACCUCACCCAUCUAGGAAGGAGAAGGAUCAGACCAUACCAAUGCCACCAAUGCUCC